This 623-nucleotide ribosomal RNA is filed under the name fungal sp. Its description in RNAcentral is "eukaryotic LSU rRNA". The stretch from base 123 to 276 matches the Rfam family "5.8S ribosomal RNA". Lineage: Eukaryota; Fungi. The record is from RNAcentral.
GUUCCCUCGGCGGGCUCAGCGCGCGGUGGCCUCCGGGCCUCCGGGCGUCCGCCGGGGAAAACCAAACCCUGAUUUAAUCGUAUUUCUCUGAGGGGCGAAAGCCCGAAAACAAAAUGAAUCAAAACUUUCAACAACGGAUCUCUUGGCUCUGGCAUCGAUGAAGAACGCAGCGAAAUGCGAUAAGUAAUGUGAAUUGCAGAAUUCAGUGAAUCAUCGAAUCUUUGAACGCACAUUGCGCCCGCCGGCACUCCGGCGGGCAUGCCUGUCCGAGCGUCAUUUCAACCCUCAGGCCCACCCUUCCGGGGGAGCGGGCCUGGUUCUGGGGAUCGGCGGCCCUCGCGGCCCCCGUCCCUCAAAUUCAGUGGCGGUCGCGCCGCAGCCUCCCCUGCGUAGUAGCACAACCUCGCACCGGAGAGCGGAACGACCACGCCGUAAAACACCCAAUUUUUUAAGGUUGACCUCGGAUCAGGUAGGAAUACCCGCUGAACUUAAGCAUAUCAAUAAGCGGAGGAAAAGAAACCAACAGGGAUUGCCUCAGUAACGGCGAGUGAAGCGGCAACAGCUCAGAUUUGAAAUCUGGCCUCACGGUCCGAGUUGUAAUUUGUAGAGGAUGCUUUUGGCGA